Molecule: unclassified non-coding RNA, 391 nt
Filed under: soil metagenome
Description: partial contains 5.8S ribosomal RNA, internal transcribed spacer 2, and large subunit ribosomal RNA
Rfam family: 5.8S ribosomal RNA (bases 1-122)
Source: RNAcentral
GAUGAAGAACGCAGCGAAAUGCGAUACUUGGUGUGAAUUGCAGAAUCCCGUGAACCAUCGAGUCUUUGAACGCAAGUUGCGCCCGAAGCCAUUAGGCCGAGGGCACGCCUGCCUGGGCGUCACACGUCGUUGCCCCCCCAUCUACUCCUUCGGGAUUGCGGGGGGCGGAUGAUGGCCUCCCGUGCGCCUCGUCGCGCGGUUGGCAUAAAUGCCAAGUCCCCGGCGACGCACGCCACGACAAUCGGUGGUUGCGAAACCUCGGUUGCCCGUCGUGUGCGGUCGUCGCGCAUCGAGGGCUCGAAAAAAUUGCCGGGCUCCGGCUCGGCUUUCAACGCGACCCCAGGUCAGGCGGGGUUACCCGCUGAAUUUAAGCAUAUCAAUAAGCGGAGGA